Molecule: long non-coding RNA, 3176 nt
Filed under: Cricetulus griseus (Chinese hamster)
Lineage: Eukaryota; Metazoa; Chordata; Mammalia; Rodentia; Cricetidae
Description: lncRNA (ENSCGRG00015039168.1)
Source: RNAcentral
UUUUCCUACAAAAGCCCAUUCAUAAAAGUCUUGUUUGCAGCCCCUGGCACUUCUGGGAGCUCGUGAAAACUUGAAGAUGUGGGCCUAGUGGGAGGCUGUCAGGCCUUUGGACUGUGUCCUCAAAAGAGGAAAUGGAGUUCCUACCUCUGGCCAUCAAGUGAGCAGAUGUGCUCCGCCUCAUGCCCUCACCACAGUGUACUGCCUCACCAUAGGCCCCAAAGCAAUGGGGCCAAUUUACCGUGCACUGAUACCUCCAAAACCGUGAGCUCACAUAUACCUUUGCUUUUUAUAAGCUGCUUUUUCUCUGAUAUUUGUUAUAGUAACGGUAUAGUAUAGUAAAAGCUGGCUAACAGUCUACAACCUCCUGGCUAGAGAUUCCUGAAUUCUCUCCUAGCCAUCCUCCAUAUAGCCACCAGAGUCUUUCCGAUCCCACCAGACUGCCCGGCUCCCCUACAAAGUCCCAACAGAUUCCCUUGGCUGGAAAGUUCUAAGGCAAAUCCCCCAGCAACACAGCAAGUUCCUUCACAGUCUAUGUAGCUGCAGUGAGUUGUUCUCAACCUCGGCUACUUUUCAGGAUCUGGAGGAGCAUUAAAAACCGCCCAUGAGUUACAGUUUAAUUAAUCUGGCCGGGUCCCACGUAUCUGCAUUUUUAUUUCAUUUCCUAAGACCAGGUUCUGCCUUUGUGGACUCUGCAGAUUCCUGGGCCUCCGCUGGAGAGCCCACUGCUUUCUAAUCUCCAUCCCAGGAGCGAUGCAGGAACUGGCCUGAGAGUUUGAAUUAUAUCCCUUCCACUCCUGGUAGCUGACAAGCAGUCUUCAGCACUGAAAGAUCAAAACCAAGUCUGGGCCCCAUUGCUGCACACAGUAGGCUUGCUUGUGAGGGUUUCUAUUCCCACCCUGGAGAUACACUUCAGGGCAUGUCCGUCAGGGAUUUCUGGGUUAGUUUCAUUAAAAUGGGCAGAUUCCCUCUGUGGGCAGCACUGUUCCCCAGGCUGGCAUCCCAGGCUGCACAUGGAGAAGCUGGUGGGGUGCCAGCACCCAGCCUCUUAGAUCUUCACUACAGACACCUCAACCUCUGCACCUGCCUUCAGCACUGUGAUGGACUGUACCCCAACUGUGGGCCGGAACAGCCCUCCUUUCUUCCGGUCAGGCCAUUUUGUUGCAGUAACGAGGCAAGUAACUAAUACAUGGGUUAUUAGUUCCUUGGCACAUGGGUUAUCAUGACCUAUGGACCACUGAGAAUGAGAGGUGGAUGAAGAGGUCUGAACACAGAGUAAGUUUCCAUAGGACCGUGGGGAUGCUGAUUUCUCCCAGGAAGACCCUUAACUACACAAUGGAGAAGGCUCAGACCUCACUAGAUCUCACUAGUCAAGCCUGCUCAUUACUCCUCCUGGUCACUUUUCCAUAACUUGCCUCGGUCACCCAGGAACAUCCAACUUCUUCCUUUUUUUAAUUUUUAAACAGCUGAGGAUGGCAUUUAAGCACAAGUCUCAACCUUGUUGAUUGGGCUGUUCGUUUCUGUGGCACCAGGAAUUCCCUGCCGUUUGUCAAGCAGUAUUGUUGCACAGCAUCCUUGCUGCCACACUCUGGAGAGUUCUUGACAUCCCAGCAGCAAGUUCUGGCACAUUCUCACAACACCCAGGUCCUUGGCAGGAGAGGAACCAGAUGUAUUGUGCCAGAGAGUCCCAGGACCAUUUCCAAGUACCAGAGAGUCACUGAGUGCCCAUCAGGAUGGAGAUGAAGUCUCUGGGGAUGGACUGGACACACUGUGCCCAUCAGGAUGGAGAUGCAGUCUCUGGGGAUGGACUGAGCACACUGUGCACUCAGCCCUUGAGGAAGCAGAGACACUCAUUACUGAUUGGCCUAGUCUGAGUGUUUUUAAACUUCUGUGCAACUCAAGCUGCUUCUCCAACAUAGCACAUCCCUACACCAGAGCCAGCUGUGUCCAUUGAGGACUUCCUGUAGCUCAAGACGAUGCAAAUCAUCUGAAUAGAGCUGAGGAGAGAAGUGGAGAUCUUUGUCCUUGGGACCAAAAGAAACUGCAGCAUGAGAAGCUGUCCUGGUGCCAAUGGAGAGGCGUGCAGAGAACCAGGUCCAUUGCGCACAGACAAUAGACACGUUAUGUCCUUACUGAAGACUCCGAGGGCUGCUCAAAGCUCCACUUGGAGUGGAGGAGUGGAGAAGUGGUUCAUUGCGGAGGUGGGGCAGGUUGCCCACUGGUUUGGGAAGACACUUCCAUCACCAGUCCCAACCCUUGUUAUUCCCCUGGAGGUAGAUACUCAGUUGUCUGAGAAAAGAUGAAGUCAUCUCUGUUGGGUUUCAGGAUGUGAACGUGGAAGUGCUGGACCCAGAGGGGCGGAUGGAGGUGGAGAUGGAGAAGGUUGAUAAUGUCAAGACCCAAGAGGUGGUGCCUGAUGAACCACAGGGUGUGCUAAGGAGCCAGCCCCCGCCUGGGGUAUGGAGGCUGGCUGGUAGAAGACAGCUCUGAGCAUGUGGGUCCAAGCCAGUACCCAGGAACAAGCCCGGACAUGGGACCCACACCUGAACUGUGAUCUCAUGCCUAACAGGGCCACCACUCUACAGUUGUCUUGUCCAUGACUUCUGCACCCUGAGAAUGGCAUCUGCCUAUCCCCUAGAUACAACCGAAUGCCAGAAACAGUGUGUGCCAAAACAACCCCAAGAAACUGUAAGACCAGCACACCCCAAGCUGGGCUGUGAACUUGAUGUUAUCACUCAUUAGCCGAUACAGACCUGUAGGUCCCACGUCAGCCAAGAAUAUUGAGGCCAUGGGAAAUCGGGGCUUGUGGUGAUUUGGAUGAGAAGUCCCCCAUAGUCUUGGGACAUUUGAACACUUUGUUCCCUGUUGGUGGCACUGUUUGUAUAGGUUUCUGAGGUAUGACCUUGCUGGAGGAAGUGUGUCACUGGGGAUGGACUUUGAAAGACUGAACCACUUCUCAUUCACUCUCUUCCUCCUGGGGGUUCUAGACUUAUGUUCAAGACUUAGCUUCCUGCUUUGGCUGUCACACCUCCUCUAAGCCAUGAUAGACUCUCAUCCCAUGGGAACCAGAAACCCAAAUAAGCUCUCUCUUCUAGAAGUUGCCUUGGCUGUGGUGUUUUAUUACAGUGAUAGAAAAGUAACUCAGGCAGGGCCAAAGGAGAGGAAGACAUUUCUAUGUG